This 548-nucleotide ribosomal RNA is filed under the name uncultured bacterium. Its description in RNAcentral is "bacterial SSU rRNA". It matches the Rfam family "Bacterial small subunit ribosomal RNA", at positions 355 to 896 of the family's 1533-position model. The record is from RNAcentral.
UGGGGAAUUUUGGACAAUGGGCGCAAGCCUGAUCCAGCAAUGCCGCGUGAGUGAAGAAGGCCUUCGGGUUGUAAAGCUCUUUUGUCAGGGAAGAAACGGUCUCAGCUAAUAUCUGGGGCUAAUGACGGUACCUGAAGAAUAAGCACCGGCUAACUACGUGCCAGCAGCCGCGGUAAUACGUAGGGUGCAAGCGUUAAUCGGAAUUACUGGGCGUAAAGCGUGCGCAGGCGGUUUUGUAAGUCUGAUGUGAAAUCCCCGGGCUCAACCUGGGAAUUGCAUUGGAGACUGCAAGGCUAGAAUCUGGCAGAGGGGGGUAGAAUUCCACGUGUAGCAGUGAAAUGCGUAGAGAUGUGGAGGAACACCGAUGGCGAAGGCAGCCCCCUGGGUCAAGAUUGACGCUCAUGCACGAAAGCGUGGGGAGCAAACAGGAUUAGAUACCCUGGUAGUCCACGCCCUAAACGAUGUCUACUAGUUGUCGGGUUUUAAUUAACUUGGUAACGCAGCUAACGCGUGAAGUAGACCGCCUGGGGAGUACGGUCGCAAGAUUA